UUCCGGUUGAUCCCGCCGGAGGUUACUGCUAUCGAGGUUCGACUAAGCCAUGCGAGUCGAAUGUAGCAAUACAUGGCGAACUGCUCAGUAACACGUGGACAACCUGCCCUUAGGACGGGGAUAAACCCGGGAAACUGGGUAUAAUACCCGAUAGGUCUCGAUUGCUGGAAUGCAUCGAGAUUUAAAGCUCCGGCGCCUAAGGAUGGGUCUGCGGCCUAUCAGGUAGUAGUGGGUGUAGCGUACCUACUAGCCUACGACGGGUACGGGUUGUGAGAGCAAGAGCCCGGAGAUGGAUUCUGAGACACGAAUCCAGGCCCUACGGGGUGCAGCAGGCGCGAAAACUUUACAAUGCUGGCAACAGCGAUAAGGGAACCUCGAGUGCCAGGUUACAAAUCUGGCUGUCGAGAUGCCUAAAAAGCAUUUCAUAGCAAGGGCCGGGCAAGACCGGUGCCAGCCGCCGCGGUAACACCGGCGGCUCGAGUGGUAACCGUUAUUAUUGGGUCUAAAGGGUCUGUAGCCGGCCGGAUAAGUCUCUUGAGAAAUCUGGCAGCUUAACUGUCAGGCUUUCAGGAGAUACUGUCUGGCUCGAGGCCGGGAGAGGUGAGAGGUACUUCAGGGGUAGGGGUGAAAUCUUGUAAUCCUUGAAGGACCACCAGUGGCGAAGGCGUCUCACCAGAACGGACCUGACGGCAAGGGACAAAAGCUAGGGGCACGAACCGGAUUAGAUACCCGGGUAGUCCUAGCCGUAAACGAUACUCGCUAGGUGUCGGCCACGGUGCGACCGUUGUCGGUGCCGUAGGGAAGCCGUGAAGCGAGCCACCUGGGAAGUACGGCCGCAAGGCUGAAACUUAAAGGAAUUGGCGGGGGAGCACCACAACGG
RNAcentral lists this ribosomal RNA (880 nucleotides) under Methanosaeta sp. enrichment culture clone AA9. Its description in RNAcentral is "bacterial SSU rRNA". It matches the Rfam family "Archaeal small subunit ribosomal RNA", at positions 1 to 887 of the family's 1478-position model. The record is from RNAcentral. Lineage: Archaea; Methanobacteriati; Methanobacteriota; Methanomicrobia; Methanotrichales; Methanotrichaceae.